Molecule: RNA transcript, 2896 nt
Organism: Gossypium raimondii (Peruvian cotton)
Lineage: Eukaryota; Viridiplantae; Streptophyta; Magnoliopsida; Malvales; Malvaceae
Exons: 5
Source: RefSeq, a predicted model, not a curated record
AAUUAUUGUUUCUGGGAUUAUGGAUUUAAAUUGGGAUAGCUUUCGAUUUUUGUUUAAAUCUUUCCACCUUUUUAGGAUGCUUCUCUGAAAACAACAAAUUAAGUGAAUGUUCAGCGGCGAGCAUGUAAGUUUCAACUUUCUCUUUAUACACCAUUUCUUUUAAAAGAAAAAAGAAAGAUUAGUUUUGAUGCUUUGUUGUGAAAGUUAGUGAUGUUGAAAUAAUUGUUGAAUAUAAUUAAUGGCUAUUCAUUUUUAGUGUAUUAGACUUUGCAUCGUGUUUUGCUGGUACCUUUCAGAUAAAUAGAACAGAGAAUAGGUCAGUUCUUCAUGUAGCUGUCCCGGCACCGUGAGAUGCUGUUAUGUUCGCGAUGGAAAGAAUGUGGUGCCAGAUGUUUUUAAUGUUCUGGAUAAGAUCAUGGAAUUUUCAGAGAAAGUUCUCAGUGGCUCCUCCUGGGGAGCUUCCUGUUUUCUUAAACAUCUAGUCGAAUAUGCUGUUCCUCAAUUGCUGAUAUGCAGGUAAAUGUUGGCAGGUUGGAGCUACCUAAAACCACCGAAGGAUAUGUUUGCAAUUGGCAUUGAUGCCAGUUUCUUAGGUCCUUUAUUUGUUCAUUUGGCUCUCCAAACAGUCUUGACGACUCACAGACCCUCAGGCUGUUGAAUUUGCUAAAGGACGCCAUCUAUGUUUGUAAGUAGUUGUUUAUUACUGCAACUGGUAUGUUUCUGUGUUCUUUCUUUCUUCCAUUGGGUAAUUAGUGUCAAAAAAGAAGAAGAGAUGGACCAACUUGAUAAAGUGAAAAUGUAUUUUCUCCUUUUUCUUGAAUCAGAUAGCCUAUCGUUCAUAGCUUGUUUUCUUCACUUCUCAUUAACUGCUAAAGCUCUUAUAAAUAUUGCUUCAUAUAACAUAUGAUAUGGUACACUGGUAUCUAUACUAUUCUGCUUAUAAAUGUUUCCUAUGCAGCUUGUUAAAAAGUUUGGCAUUGAUCCUAACGAUGCUUUUGCAUUCUGGGACUGGGUUGGUGGUCAUUACAGUGGUUUUUAAUGGGGACUUCAAGCAUUGAUCAACAUUUCCAUUCAGCUCCUUUCAAGAAUAAUAUAUUAUACCUAAUACAGGAAUUUAGAUUGUGCGCCAAUUGAUGGUGUGCUGCUUCCUUACGAGGCUGGUGAAAGGCAAAUCUGGAACAAAUGGCUAACACAAGUUUUAUCAACUAGUCAACCAGGUGAAUUGUCUGUUGCAUCUUGCAUAUGGUAGAAGAAUAUUAGGAGAUUUGUGUUUCAUAUAUAACAUCUUAGACCGCCUUGAAGGUGCUAAAUUAUAUAUUUGACCCUGGACCUGCAAAGCUAUGGAUCUCUGCCCCUAGGAAAAAUAAGAUGCUUGUGCAAAAAAUAAAGACCAGAAAGCUUUGUUGGAGACUGGCCAGAUAUGGCACAUUAUUCUUGUUAGUUACCAUGACAAAUUUAAAGAAGUACUAAAUGUACUUGGAGAAAUUGAAUUGGUUUAUUAAAAACUGCUUUUGAAUGUUAUUCACCAUAAUAUGGGUUCCAACUCUUGAGAGUUCAUUGCCUUAACUGCUCAAAUCUUUACCUUUAGCUCUGAUGGAAGAAACGAUUCUGCCACUGCAUAACCUCAUAUUAUAAAUAGAUUCAGCUUUUGGUACUCUCUAGUUAUCAUGCUGAAGUGGUAAAGUGCAUGGGGUAGGGAUGGUUGUUCAACUUUUGGUAUUUGUAGAAUCAAGCUGUCCUAAACUGCAAGGUCAAGCUAUAAGCAUUUUAAGUUCUCGUUUGACAUUGCCAGGGACGUGUAAUUCUAUGUGAUUUCAUUGGUAUUUCAAGAGCGGUUAACCUGGGUACCUUAAUGGUAUAAUCCAAUCUAUUACUGUACCAAUUACUAACUGGACCAUGUACUUUGUUGUUUAUGUUGCAUCUUUUAACUCAAAGUCGUCAUCAUUAUCAUUAUAUUGGCAGGUGAAGUUGUGACUGGUGAGUAAUCAUUGAUGCCUCCCUUAUGGGAAGACAGCAGAGAAAUUGAGGAAGGGGAAUGUUCCACAGCAUCUUAUUCCGCAUAAGGUGGCUCUUAGCUUUUGUCCCAAGCCUUUUAGUUCAUAACAGGAUUAAUGCCCUAACCAUUAUUAUAUUCCUUAGACAUUCUCUAGAUAUGGACCUUCUCUGUCUUUUGCUUCCAUCUCGUAUGCUUACAACAUUGGGCAGGUGAGUAGCUUAUUCUCUUAAAUUUGACUUAACGAAGCAUUCACUGAAAAAAGUAACACUGCCCGUUUACUGAAAAUGUUAUAAAAUUACCCAUUGGAUUUAAUAAAAUUAUGACAUCGGACGUCCAAUAGCAGUUUCGAGUAAAUGCACAAAACCAUUAACCUGUUUUUUUCCACUGUUUGACAUGUUGAAGCUCAUUUUUUAACGUUUUAUGAUUUUCUCAGCCACGCACGUUCUUAUUGCAAAAUGUGAAAAAUAAGGGGGGAAAGAUGAACUUGAAGCUCAUGAUCAACGGCACAGCAAAUAUAUUAUAGGCAAUAAACCAUAUAAAUCCACAAAAUAGCACAGGUUGAACAGUAGUGCAAAUAUCCAUGAUAGAGCUCAGUUACUGCCUGCUUAAUAUGCUACCAUUGACCCAUUCAGGGUUUCUUACAAGACAAUAACCGAUAAGCAAAACAAAGCUUUGUUUCACCGGUAGGCAGUAGUCCCCCAAACCUAACCUCUAAAACAAACCCCUAAUCCUAAAGCUAACGCUAAUCCAUUAUUACAUUUGGGAAAAAAAACCCAGAGAUUUAAACGCCAGUAGAUCCAAAUCCCCCAGCACCUCUAGUAGUAGAAUCCAGAUCAUCAACUUCCAAAACAUCAGGUGUCAUGAUCUUCUCAAUGAUCAACUGGGAAAUUCUGUCACCCA